Molecule: long non-coding RNA, 1045 nt
Organism: Acanthopagrus latus (yellowfin seabream)
Lineage: Eukaryota; Metazoa; Chordata; Actinopteri; Spariformes; Sparidae
Exons: 3
Source: RefSeq, a predicted model, not a curated record
CUGGCGGCCCGCCAUGGUCUAAUUUAUUCCGCCACAGUCUCAGAGUGAACCGAAAAAAAUCUUACACUUCUCAUAAUAACAUAAAAGAUCUGUAACGUGUGUUUCGCACUGCGGCUUUGGCAAAGGAUCUCUCACUCUCUGUCGGCUCUGCCCCGCUCUGCCCCCACCCCGCUGUACAUGGUGCGCGCACACUCACUUACACACGCACGCAUCACGCAGGCACGUACGCACUGGAAUAUAUCGCGUUACCUUACGGCAUUGUGAAGCAGAAGUGAAGACGACGUGAAGAAGGCAUUUUAGGACACCACAUCGUUUGAGGACAAGAACCAGGCUGAAAUAAUGACCCUGCUAGCCAGUGAGUGCGAUGAAUGGGGACAGAUAUACCCAUUACUCAGCCGAUUGGCAGCAAUUGCACUUGUCAUUCCGGUGUCAAGUGUCAACUGUGAGAGAGACUUCUCCACAAUGAACAGGGUCAAAUCAGAGCUUUGCAACAGGCUGCAAGGAGAGCACCUGGCUGCCUGCCUGAGGGUCUCCAUCAAUGGGCCGUGUCCAGAGAAAUUUGACUACUAAAGGGCAUUAGAAGUGUUUUUUUCAAAACCCAGGAAAAUUCAAUGUCCAAAUUCAGGGUGCAAAGUUUGCAAAUAGGAGUGUUGUAUAAAUGUGUAUUUUGGAUGUUUUCUUUCAACUAGUCUGAAAGAAGACAAGUUAUGGAAGCAAAAGAGGCCAAAAUGUUUUUGCCUGCCAAAAUGUUGAUGUACCCUCCGAAUCCAUUUUAUUUUUUAUUACAAUUUAGCUUACAGUUUAAUUAUUUAUUAUUUUAUCUGGUAAAGGUAAACACUUUUGCUUUAUUUCUUUGAUGGCUCAGAUGUAUGCGAUAUUUGAUUUUGUGUUUUCACUAUUAGUAUCUAUACAACCAAUGUGUUUGUGAUUAAAUUGUGUUCAAGAGCACACAGUUCCUCAUAGAUCUAGCCUCUUAAUUUUGCUUUCAAAGUGCACCAGAUUGAUGCAUUCAACUUUAAAAUGGUAAAAAAAAAUCUUCCGGGGG